Non-coding RNA from Russula brevipes, 93 nucleotides. The record is from the annotation of a GenBank genome assembly. NCBI's taxonomy places the organism in Eukaryota, Fungi, Basidiomycota, Agaricomycetes, Russulales, Russulaceae.
UCCCGUUUAGCUCAGCUGGUAGAGCGCGUCACUAGUAACAUAAUCAGAUGUUGCGUUAUGACGAGGUCAGUCGUUCGAGUCGGCUAAUGGGAA